Molecule: long non-coding RNA, 356 nt
Organism: Physeter macrocephalus (sperm whale)
Lineage: Eukaryota; Metazoa; Chordata; Mammalia; Artiodactyla; Physeteridae
Exons: 3
Source: RefSeq, a predicted model, not a curated record
GAAGCCUUGGGUAGGGGUAGAAUCCGAGAGUGGGUACAAACAUUGGCCAAGUCUCCUCCGCCAGCAACGGCCUCUUUGUACUUAGACUUUGUUGGAUGGUGCUAUGAACACUGUAAUGCCCUGCCAUCUUUUCUGGAAUGAAAAAGGGAAGAAGACAAUGUUUCAAGACUAUUUGUAACCACUGUCUUAGGACUCAGGUCCUGCUCUGCUCCUUACCUGCUCCUCUAGUGAUCUGGUCUCAGACAGGCUCCUCAUCAUCAAUCACCCCAGAUCAGUGAAGGCAGCUCAAGUGAGCUUAAAGGUAAUAUAUUCACUAUACAUUUGGAAAUUGAAGUAAAUGUAUAAAGAAGAAAAUG